Molecule: ribosomal RNA, 253 nt
Filed under: uncultured bacterium
Lineage: Bacteria
Description: partial 16S ribosomal RNA
Rfam family: Bacterial small subunit ribosomal RNA
Source: RNAcentral
UACAGAGGGUGCGAGCGUUAAUCGGAUUUACUGGGCGUAAAGCGUGCGUAGGCGGCUUUUUAAGUCGGAUGUGAAAUCCCCGAGCUUAACUUGGGAAUUGCAUUCGAUACUGGGAAGCUAGAGUAUGGGAGAGGAUGGUAGAAUUCCAGGUGUAGCGGUGAAAUGCGUAGAGAUCUGGAGGAAUACCGAUGGCGAAGGCAGCCAUCUGGCCUAAUACUGACGCUGAGGUACGAAAGCAUGGGGAGCAAACAGU